RNAcentral lists this ribosomal RNA (253 nucleotides) under uncultured bacterium. RNAcentral's name for it is "partial 16S ribosomal RNA". It matches the Rfam family "Bacterial small subunit ribosomal RNA", at positions 524 to 776 of the family's 1533-position model. The record is from RNAcentral.
UACAGAGGAGCCAAGCGUUGUCCGGAUUGACUGGGCGUAAAGCGCACGCAGGCGGAUGCGCGCGUGGGGUGUGAAAUCUGGCCGCUUAACGGCCAGGCGCCAUCCCAUACGGCGCGUCUGGAGUGAUGCAGAGGUCGAUGGAAUUCCAGGUGUAGCGGUGAAAUGCGUAGAUAUCUGGAGGAACACCGGUGGCGAAGGCGGCGUCCUGGACCAAUACUGACACUGAGGAGCGAAAGCAUGGGGAGCAAACAGG